This 584-nucleotide long non-coding RNA is filed under the name Pan troglodytes (chimpanzee). RNAcentral's name for it is "long non-coding RNA NONPTRT012409". The record is from RNAcentral. Lineage: Eukaryota; Metazoa; Chordata; Mammalia; Primates; Hominidae.
AGGUCUGCUGUCCAAUGGAGAUAGAGGUCCCGGUGUCUAACGGAAGGGGAGUGUCCAUUGCAACCUUGAAAUAGCGCGUAUCUGUGCAAACAGAAAAAUAUGAAAGUCAUACCUUAUGUGGACUCAGCACAUUACAAUUUACAAAGUAUUUGCACAUCUACAAACUCAUUGGAUCAUUACAAUGUGAUGUGCUGAGCCAUAGGUAGAGCCCAGUACCCAGGACAAAGCAAAGCAAAGCUGCUAGUAUGUGUACUCCAGGAAGUUUCACCAUUGACACAGUAAAGGGAGAGAAGGUGUCUCGGUUCUGGAACUGUACAGCCAGUGAGCUCUGAGCUGGAGCUCGGGCAGGAGAAUCCUUUGGGGAUUUGACAGAUGGGUAUUUGUGCAAAGGUGCCAUUUACAUACUGUUACGGCCAUCACCAAGGCCCUCUAGGGCAUAGCCUCUUGGGGGAAGUCUUGGACCUGCUGGAAGAACUGGGAUGUGAGCCUGAACCCAUUUUCCAACUUUCCACCCAAUACCUUUGCUAGACUUGGUAGAGUCAGGACAUGAUAAGAAGUCUGGGAAGAACAACCAUCACUCCAGG